ACACAUGCAGUCGAACGGCAGCAUGUUCUAACUUCGGUUAGAAUGAUGGCGAGUGGCGGACGGGUGAGUAACGCGUAGGAAUCUACCUAGAAGUGGGGGGUAACCCGGGGAAACUCGGGCUAAUACCGCAUACGCUCUACGGAGGAAAGCUGGGGACCUUAGGGCCUGGCGCUUUUAGAUGAGCCUGCGUCAGAUUAGCUUGUUGGUGGGGUAAAGGCCUACCAAGGCGACGAUCUGUAGCUGAUUUGGGAGGAUGAUCAGCCACACUGGGACUGAGACACGGCCCAGACUCCUACGGGAGGCAGCAGUGGGGAAUUUUGGACAAUGGGCGAAAGCCUGAUCCAGCAAUGCCGCGUGUGCGAUGACGGCCUUCGGGUUGUAAAGCACUUUCAAUUGUGAAGAAAUGUGCACGGUUAAUACCCGUGUAAGCUGACGUUAACAAUAGAAGAAGCACCGGCUAACUCUGUGCCAGCAGCCGCGGUAAUACAGAGGGUGCGAGCGUUAAUCGGAAUUACUGGGCGUAAAGAGCGCGUAGGUGGUCUACUAAGUCAUGUGUGAAAGCCCUGAGCUUAACUUAGGAAUUGCAUGUGAUACUGGUAGUCUAGAGUAUGGUAGAGGGAAGUGGAAUUUCCGGUGUAGCGGUGAAAUGCAUAGAUAUCGGAAGGAACACCAGUGGCGAAGGCGACUUCCUGGGCCAAUACCGACACUGAGGCGCGAAAGCGUGGGUAGCAAACAGGAUUAGAUACCCUGGUAGUCCACGCCGUAACGAUGAGAACUAGGUGUAAGAAUUUAUUUUUGUGCCGUAGCUAACGCGUUAAGUUCUCCGCCUGGGGAGUACGGCCGCAAGGCUAAAACUCAAAGGAAUUGACGGGGGCCCGCACAAGCGGUGGAGCAUGUGGUUUAAUUCGAUG
This 911-nucleotide ribosomal RNA is filed under the name uncultured marine bacterium. RNAcentral's name for it is "bacterial SSU rRNA". It matches the Rfam family "Bacterial small subunit ribosomal RNA", at positions 51 to 956 of the family's 1533-position model. The record is from RNAcentral.